CUCACUGCUAGAUGCGGUAGUAGAAGAAUCACCUCCAUUGAAGAACAAUGAAAAAUUACUCUAAGCCUUCAAUCUUCAGUAGCAUGGAUGAUCAUAAUCAGUGCUUUUGAAGAGGACUUUUCUGUUAACCCCAGAAUACUGCAGGCAAAGUAGCAAUGAACUGAAACUGCUUCCACCAUUGUGUUGCAUCUGACAUUUAUUCAUUCCUUUAUGAACUGAGUUGGGCUCUAAAGAGACUCUAAGAGAAUGGAGGUCCCAGCCAAGUCUUCCUGCAACCAUGGUCUCUGUCCCAGCACCAACCAAGUUGGAGUACACUCUUCAAGCAAGGACCCUAAAUAAGUAUUUAAUCUCAUCAACUGCUUUUUG
This is a long non-coding RNA of Mus caroli (Ryukyu mouse), 366 nucleotides long. RefSeq lists it as uncharacterized. The record is from RefSeq and is a predicted model, not a curated record. NCBI's taxonomy places the organism in Eukaryota, Metazoa, Chordata, Mammalia, Rodentia, Muridae.